GGGUUGUGAGGUUAAGCGACUAAGCGUACACGGUGGAUGCCCUGGCAGUCAGAGGCGAUGAAGGACGUGCUAAUCUGCGAAAAGCGUCGGUAAGGUGAUAUGAACCGUUAUAACCGGCGAUGUCCGAAUGGGGAAACCCAGUGUGAUUCGUCACACUAUCGUUAACUGAAUACAUAGGUUAACGAGGCGAACCGGGGGAACUGAAACAUCUAAGUACCCCGAGGAAAAGAAAUCAACCGAGAUUCCCCCAGUAGCGGCGAGCGAACGGGGAGCAGCCCAGAGUCUGA
This 287-nucleotide ribosomal RNA is filed under the name Klebsiella quasipneumoniae subsp. similipneumoniae. Its description in RNAcentral is "partial 23S ribosomal RNA". It matches the Rfam family "Bacterial large subunit ribosomal RNA", at positions 1 to 279 of the family's 2925-position model. Lineage: Bacteria; Pseudomonadati; Pseudomonadota; Gammaproteobacteria; Enterobacterales; Enterobacteriaceae. The record is from RNAcentral.